RNAcentral lists this ribosomal RNA (465 nucleotides) under uncultured bacterium. RNAcentral's name for it is "bacterial SSU rRNA". It matches the Rfam family "Bacterial small subunit ribosomal RNA", at positions 329 to 792 of the family's 1533-position model. The record is from RNAcentral.
UGCCAGACUCCUACGGGAGGCAGCAGUGAGGAAUAUUGGUCAAUGGCCGAGAGGCUGAACCAGCCAAGUCGCGUGAGGGAAGACGGCCCUACGGGUUGUAAACCUCUUUUGUCGGGGAGCAAAGGGCGCCACGUGUGGCGCUUUGCGAGUACCUGAAGAAAAAGCAUCGGCUAACUCCGUGCCAGCAGCCGCGGUAAUACGGAGGAUGCGAGCGUUAUCCGGAUUUAUUGGGUUUAAAGGGUGCGUAGGCGGGCUGUUAAGUCAGCGGUCAAAUGUCGGGGCUCAACCCCGGCCUGCCGUUGAAACUGGCGGCCUCGAGUGGGCGAGAAGUAUGCGGAAUGCGUGGUGUAGCGGUGAAAUGCAUAGAUAUCGCGCAGAACUCCGAUUGCGAAGGCAGCAUGCCGGCUCCACACUGACGCUGAGGCACGAAAGCGUGGGUAUCGAACAGGAUUAGAUACCCUUGUA